UAAGUGUUGAUCAGUCUCAUCUCGAUCUUCUUACUGACGGAAUCUUUCGAUUCAAGUAUGCUAGGUUUCAUCUACUUUAUCAUUCUUAGAUCAGAUUGAAGAUCUAUUGAUUCGAUUCAAGUAUGAUUAAAAUGAUUUUUGUGCUUGGAGAACUUGGUGGCCGAGAUGAAUAUUCCCUAGUGAAAGCCCUGAAACAGGGGAAAAUCAGUAAACCUGUGGUUGCUUGGGUCAGUGGAACUUGUGCACGUCUCUUCAAGUCAGAAGUACAAUUUGGUCAUGCGGGAGCCAAAAGUGGUGGUGAGAUGGAGUCUGCACAAGCCAAGAAUCAAGCACUUCACGAUGUUGGAGCUGUUCUCCCAACUUCAUUUGAAGCAUUUGAAACUGUGA
This is a non-coding RNA of Camellia sinensis, 387 nucleotides long. Lineage: Eukaryota; Viridiplantae; Streptophyta; Magnoliopsida; Ericales; Theaceae. The record is from RefSeq and is a predicted model, not a curated record.